GGCGCAGUAGUUCAGCCUGGUUAGAAUGCCAGCCUGUCACGCUGGAGGUCGAGGGUUCGAGCCCCUUCUGCGUCGCCA
This 78-nucleotide transfer RNA is filed under the name Ruminococcaceae bacterium YAD3003. Its description in RNAcentral is "tRNA_Asp_GTC". It matches the Rfam family "tRNA". Rfam says of the family: Transfer RNA (tRNA) molecules are approximately 80 nucleotides in length. Their secondary structure includes four short double-helical elements and three loops (D, anti-codon, and T loops). Further hydrogen bonds mediate the characteristic L-shaped molecular structure. tRNAs have two regions of fundamental functional importance: the anti-codon, which is responsible for specific mRNA codon recognition, and the 3' end, to which the tRNAs corresponding amino acid is attached (by aminoacyl-tRNA synthetases). tRNAs cope with the degeneracy of the genetic code in two manners: having more than one tRNA (with a specific anti-codon) for a particular amino acid; and 'wobble' base-pairing, i.e. permitting non-standard base-pairing at the 3rd anti-codon position. RNAcentral also lists the same sequence under 7 other names. The record is from RNAcentral. Lineage: Bacteria; Bacillati; Bacillota; Clostridia; Eubacteriales; Oscillospiraceae.